GAUGAAGAACGCAGCGAAAUGCGAUACGUAAUGUGAAUUGCAGAAUUCAGUGAAUCAUCGAGUAUUUGAACGCACAUUGCGCCCCCUGGUAUUCCGGGGGGCAUGCCUGUCCGAGCGUCAUUGCUGCCCUCAAGCACGGCUUGUGUGUUGGGCCUCCGUCCUCCUCCCGGGGGACGGGCCCGAAAGGCAGCGGCGGCACCGCGUCCGGUCCUCGAGCGUAUGGGGCUUCGUCACCCGCUCUUGUAGGCCCGGCCGGCGCUUGCCGACACAUCAAUCUUUUUUCCAGGUUGACCUCGGAUCAGGUAGGGAUACCCGCUGAACUUAAGCAUAUCAAUAAGCGGAGGA
This 345-nucleotide unclassified non-coding RNA is filed under the name soil metagenome. RNAcentral's name for it is "partial contains 5.8S ribosomal RNA, internal transcribed spacer 2, and large subunit ribosomal RNA". The stretch from base 1 to 120 matches the Rfam family "5.8S ribosomal RNA", at positions 35 to 154 of the family's 154-position model. The record is from RNAcentral.